This 1080-nucleotide ribosomal RNA is filed under the name uncultured Bacteroidota bacterium. RNAcentral's name for it is "bacterial SSU rRNA". It matches the Rfam family "Bacterial small subunit ribosomal RNA", at positions 423 to 1512 of the family's 1533-position model. The record is from RNAcentral. Lineage: Bacteria; Pseudomonadati; Bacteroidota.
UUAAAAACUGCUUCGCGCGGGGGUUAAACCAACCGGUGGGUUGGUAGCUGAAGGUACCGGGAGAAUAAGCAUGGGAUAAUUCCGUGCCAGCAGCCGCGGUAAUACGGGGGAUGCGAGCGUUAUCCGGAUUUACCGGGUUUAAAGGGUGCGCAGGCGGUUGUUUAAGUCAGGGGUGAAAGUCCUAUGCUCAACAUAGGGAUUGCCUUUGAUACUGAACGGCUAGAGUGAAGAUGGAGUGGGUGGAAUGUGUUGUGUAGCGGUGAAAUGCAUAGAUAUAACACAGAACACCGAUCGCGAAGGCAGCUCACUAAUUUUCAACUGACGCUCAUGCACGAAAGCGUGGGGAUCAAACAGGAUUAGAUACCCUGGCAGUCCACGCUGUAAACGAUGAUCACUAGCUGUUGGUACGCUGAAGUAUCAGUGGCUAAGCGAAAGUGAUAAGUGAUCCACCUGGGGAGUACGACCGCAAGGUUGAAACUCAAAGGAAUUGACGGGGGCCCGCACAAGCGGAGGAGCAUGUGGUUUAAUUCGAUGAUGCGCGAGGAACCUUACCAGGGCUCGAACGCAGGGGGGAUAUACCUGAAAGGGUAUAGCCAGCGAUGGUCGCCUGCGAGGUGCUGCAUGGUUGUCGUCAGCUCGUGCCGUGAGGUGUCAGGUUAAGUCCUAUAACGAGCGCAACCCCUAUCCAUAGUUGCCAGCGGGUAAAGCCGGGGACUCUAUGGGAACUGCCUGCGCAAGCAGAGAGGAAGGAGGGGAUGACGUCAAAUCAGCACGGCCCUUAUGUCCUGGGCUACACACGUGCUACAAUGGUCGGUACAGAGGGCAGCGACCACGUGAGUGGGAGCCAAUCCUUAAAAGCCGAUCUCAGUUCGGAUUGGAGUCUGCAACCCGACUCCAUGAAGUUGGAUUCGCUAGUAAUCGCGCAUCAGCCAUGGCGCGGUGAAUACGUUCCCGGGCCUUGUACACACCGCCCGUCAAGCCAUGGGAGCUGGGGGUACCUGAAGUUCGUGACCCGCGAGGGAGCGACCUAGGGUAAACUCAGUGACUGGGGCUAAGUCGUAACAAGGUAGCCGUAGAAUC